GUGAAAUCCUGCAGCUCAACUGUAGAAUUGCCUUUGAAACUGGUUGUCUUGAGUCAUUAUGAAGUGGUUAGAAUGUGUAGUGUAGCGGUGAAAUGCAUAGAUAUUACACAGAAUACCAAUUGCGAAGGCAGAUCACUAAUAAUGUACUGACACUGAUGGACGAAAGCGUGGGUAGCGAACAGGAUUAGAUACCCUGGUAGUCCACGCCGUAAACGAUGGUCACUAGCUGUUCGGACUUCGGUCUGAGUGGCUAAGCGAAAGUGAUAAGUGACCCACCUGGGGAGUACGUUCGCAAGAAUGAAACUCAAAGGAAUUGACGGGGGCCCGCACAAGCGGUGGAGCAUGUGGUUUAAUUCGAUGAUACGCGAGGAACCUUACCAGGGCUUAAAUGUAGAGUGACAGGUCUAGAGAUAGAUUUUUCUUCGGACACUUUACAAGGUGCUGCAUGGUUGUCGUCAGCUCGUGCCGUGAGGUGUCAGGUUAAGUCCUAUAACGAGCGCAACCCCUGUUGUUAGUUGCCAGCGAGUAAUGUCGGGAACUCUAGCAAGACUGCCAGUGCAAACUGUGAGGAAGGUGGGGAUGACGUCAAAUCAUCACG
Molecule: ribosomal RNA, 598 nt
Filed under: uncultured Bacteroidota bacterium
Lineage: Bacteria; Pseudomonadati; Bacteroidota
Description: bacterial SSU rRNA
Rfam family: Bacterial small subunit ribosomal RNA
Source: RNAcentral